UUGAACUGAAGGCCAGGAGUACUCAAUAUCUUCACGCUGUAUCUGAAAGAGAGUCUUUGCUUCUAGAUAUUAACAAAGCCGAGGACAAAUUGAAAGAAAUCUCUUCCGAAGUUAUGAUUGAAGACUCCUUGAUAACCAGUUUGGCUGCAGAUAUGAAGGAGCUUCAAGCAAGGAUGGACGACUGUAAGACGAGAAUGACU
Molecule: long non-coding RNA, 200 nt
Filed under: Olea europaea (common olive)
Lineage: Eukaryota; Viridiplantae; Streptophyta; Magnoliopsida; Lamiales; Oleaceae
Description: long non-coding RNA (OEUR_LNC003942)
Source: RNAcentral